This is a long non-coding RNA of Clupea harengus (Atlantic herring), 633 nucleotides long. The record is from Ensembl. Lineage: Eukaryota; Metazoa; Chordata; Actinopteri; Clupeiformes; Clupeidae.
GAAAUGAGCGGAAACUAAGGCUGGUCCCUAAAGCAGCAAUAAGGAGUUCAGUUCCAAAACUAGCAAGCUAACUACCUAAAAGGCAUGCAAAAACCUUGCAAACACCACCAACAGCCCAGUUGACACUGAUAGAAGCUUGCCAACAACACACUAACUGGUGUCUUUUGGCAGUAUAGCUGGCAAUGUCAUGCUGUGAAAGCUUGUCUUUCAUUUUGCAGGGUAUUCCAGCCCGGCACACAGAACUACAUAGGGCAUAUCCUGGAUGGCUAGUGGGGAAGACACGGGCUGCGGUUGUGACAUCAUCAUUGUUGUCUCCAGAAAGCAAUCUUACCGAUAUCUGGCAUCAUUUGUCAGGUUUGAAACUUGGCAGAGCUUCUCCGUCGCGCUGCUCAGUGCAUUGCGGAACAUGUUCUGUACUAUUUAGGACUACUGCACCCUCAAGUGGCCAUACGAUAAACCCACAGCACUGUAGAAAUAAUGUCAGGUCUGGUGAAACAAGCCAGGCACAGCCAGCUCAGAGAUAUAUGGCCACAGUAAACCUGAAAACAGUCUAAAUGGCAAUUCUAAUAGAAAAAAAAGCACUUUAAUUUGUUAAUUUGAACUCAUCAAGAACUGAAUUAUCCAGCCAAGAUU